RNAcentral lists this transfer RNA (74 nucleotides) under Loxodonta africana (African savanna elephant). It matches the Rfam family "tRNA". Rfam says of the family: Transfer RNA (tRNA) molecules are approximately 80 nucleotides in length. Their secondary structure includes four short double-helical elements and three loops (D, anti-codon, and T loops). The record is from Rfam by way of RNAcentral. Lineage: Eukaryota; Metazoa; Chordata; Mammalia; Proboscidea; Elephantidae.
CCCUGAGUGACAUAAAUGGUGGAUGUGUUUGGCUGCUAACCAAAAGGUUGGAGGCUUGAGUCCACCCAGAGGUG